This 252-nucleotide ribosomal RNA is filed under the name uncultured bacterium. RNAcentral describes it as "partial 16S ribosomal RNA". It matches the Rfam family "Bacterial small subunit ribosomal RNA", at positions 524 to 775 of the family's 1533-position model. The record is from RNAcentral.
UACGAAGGGGGCUAGCGUUGCUCGGAAUCACUGGGCGUAAAGCGCACGUAGGCGGACUCUUAAGUCGGGGGUGAAAUCCUGGAGCUCAACUCCAGAACUGCCUUCGAUACUGGGAGUCUUGAGUUCGGGAGAGGUGAGUGGAACUGCGAGUGUAGAGGUGAAAUUCGUAGAUAUUCGCAAGAACACCAGUGGCGAAGGCGGCUCACUGGCCCGAUACUGACGCUGAGGUGCGAAAGCGUGGGGAGCAACAGG